RNAcentral lists this ribosomal RNA (1196 nucleotides) under Staphylococcus aureus M0785. Its description in RNAcentral is "bacterial SSU rRNA". It matches the Rfam family "Bacterial small subunit ribosomal RNA", at positions 8 to 1185 of the family's 1533-position model. The record is from RNAcentral. Lineage: Bacteria; Bacillati; Bacillota; Bacilli; Caryophanales; Staphylococcaceae.
AGAGUUUGAUCCUGGCUCAGGAUGAACGCUGGCGGCGUGCCUAAUACAUGCAAGUCGAGCGAACGGACGAGAAGCUUGCUUCUCUGAUGUUAGCGGCGGACGGGUGAGUAACACGUGGAUAACCUACCUAUAAGACUGGGAUAACUUCGGGAAACCGGAGCUAAUACCGGAUAAUAUUUUGAACUGCAUGGUUCAAAAGUGAAAGACGGUCUUGCUGUCACUUAUAGAUGGAUCCGCGCUGCAUUAGCUAGUUGGUAAGGUAACGGCUUACCAAGGCAACGAUGCAUAGCCGACCUGAGAGGGUGAUCGGCCACACUGGAACUGAGACACGGUCCAGACUCCUACGGGAGGCAGCAGUAGGGAAUCUUCCGCAAUGGGCGAAAGCCUGACGGAGCAACGCCGCGUGAGUGAUGAAGGUCUUCGGAUCGUAAAACUCUGUUAUUAGGGAAGAACAUAUGUGUAAGUAACUGUGCACAUCUUGACGGUACCUAAUCAGAAAGCCACGGCUAACUACGUGCCAGCAGCCGCGGUAAUACGUAGGUGGCAAGCGUUAUCCGGAAUUAUUGGGCGUAAAGCGCGCGUAGGCGGUUUUUUAAGUCUGAUGUGAAAGCCCACGGCUCAACCGUGGAGGGUCAUUGGAAACUGGAAAACUUGAGUGCAGAAGAGGAAAGUGGAAUUCCAUGUGUAGCGGUGAAAUGCGCAGAGAUAUGGAGGAACACCAGUGGCGAAGGCGACUUUCUGGUCUGUAACUGACGCUGAUGUGCGAAAGCGUGGGGAUCAAACAGGAUUAGAUACCCUGGUAGUCCACGCCGUAAACGAUGAGUGCUAAGUGUUAGGGGGUUUCCGCCCCUUAGUGCUGCAGCUAACGCAUUAAGCACUCCGCCUGGGGAGUACGACCGCAAGGUUGAAACUCAAAGGAAUUGACGGGGACCCGCACAAGCGGUGGAGCAUGUGGUUUAAUUCGAAGCAACGCGAAGAACCUUACCAAAUCUUGACAUCCUUUGACAACUCUAGAGAUAGAGCCUUCCCCUUCGGGGGACAAAGUGACAGGUGGUGCAUGGUUGUCGUCAGCUCGUGUCGUGAGAUGUUGGGUUAAGUCCCGCAACGAGCGCAACCCUUAAGCUUAGUUGCCAUCAUUAAGUUGGGCACUCUAAGUUGACUGCCGGUGACAAACCGGAGGAAGGUGGGGAUGACGU